RNAcentral lists this ribosomal RNA (468 nucleotides) under uncultured bacterium. RNAcentral's name for it is "partial 16S ribosomal RNA". It matches the Rfam family "Bacterial small subunit ribosomal RNA", at positions 28 to 507 of the family's 1533-position model. The record is from RNAcentral.
GACGAACGCUGGCGGUGUGCUUAACACAUGCAAGUCGAACGGUAAGGCCCUUUCGGGGGUACACGAGUGGCGAACGGGUGAGUAACACGUGAGUAACCUGCCCUCAUCUCUGGGAUAACAGUCGGAAACGGUUGCUAAUACUGGAUAUGAGCUUGCAAGGCAUCUUGUGGGUUGGAAAGAUUUUUUUUGGUUGGGGAUGGACUCGCGGCCUAUCAGCUUGUUGGUGAGGUAGUGGCUCACCAAGGCUUCGACGGGUAGCCGGCCUGAGAGGGCGACCGGCCACAUUGGGACUGAGAUACGGCCCAAACUCCUAUGGGAGGCAGCAGUGGGGAAUAUUGCACAAUGGACGGAAGUCUGAUGCAGCAACGCCGCGUGCGGGAUGACGGCCUUCGGGUUGUAAACCGCUUUCAAUUGUGACGAAGCUUUUUUGUGACGGUAGCAGUAGAAGAAGCACCGGCUAACUACGUG